UCUCACUUUCAACCACAAACUUCAACAACGACACAAAUGUCUGUUUAAACCGGAUUAUGUACAUGUGCAAAGAUAUGUUAUUGUUUUUAGGAUGUCUCAGUCUGUCCAAGAAGAUGAACCAGGAGCUGUUUAUGGUUUAAGAGCCAAUCUGCAGAUUCACUUAGAAUGUUGUCGAGUGACGUAGAGGACAGGAAGCUGGGCAUGGAGGAGGAGGAGGAGGGGGCGGAGGCUGUGCCACAGUUGCUAUGGCGAAAGCGCGUUGUCGACGAAGACUCAGAGCUGCAGGCCGUGGCGUCUUCUCCCAAUGGAAGAUUCUUAAAGUUUAACAUCGAGAUCGGAAGAGGAUCUUUCAAAACGGUUUUCAAAGGUCUGGACACGGAGACCACAGUGGAGGUGGCCUGGUGUGAGCUGCAGACCCAGCGGUUGUCUCGUGCAGAGAGGCUUCGCUUCACAGAGGAGGUGGAGAUGCUCAAAGGGCUUCAGCAUCCGAACAUUGUGCGAUUCUUCGACUCCUGGAAAUCCAGCGCUCCAGGAGCCAAAUGCACUGUGCUGGUGACCGAGCUCAUGACCUCAGGGACGCUCAAGACAUACCUGCGCAGGUUCCGUCAGAUGAAGCUGAAGUUGCUGCAGAGGUGGAGCUUUGAGAUCUUAAAGGGUCUUCAGUUCCUCCACUCUCGCUCUCCUCCCAUCCUCCAUCGAGAUCUCAAGUGUGACAACAUCUUCAUCACUGGACCAACCGCCUCCAUCAAGAUUGGAGACUUAGGGCUCGCCACGCUCAAGAAGAACUCAUUCGCCAAGAGUGUCAUCGGGACCCCGGAGUUCAUGGCUCCAGAGAUGUACGAGGAGAAGUACGACGAGGGGGUGGAUGUUUACGCGUUUGGGAUGUGCAUUCUGGAGAUGGCCACUUCUGAAUAUCCGUACUCCGAGUGUAAUAACCCAGCACAAAUCUACAAGAAGGUCACAAAUGGAAUCAAACCGGACAGUUUCAACAAAGUGACAGUUCCGGAGCUGAAGGAGAUCAUUGAAGGAUGUAUCCGACCUAGCAGCGCUGAGAGGUUUACAGUGCAGGAUUUGAUCGAACACCCUUUCUUCGAGGAGGAGUUGGGAGUGAAAGUGGAGGUUGCAGAGGAGGACGAUGGCCUGAAGCCGGCGCUAAAGCUGUGGCUGAAGAUGGAGGGAAACAGGAAGCUGCACGGGAAGUACAAAGACAACAAAGCCAUCGAGUUCCUGUUUGACAUGUCCAAAGACAACCCCGAGCUGGUGGCGCAGGACAUGGUCAUCUUAGGCUUUGUGUGUGAAGCAGACUACAGAGUGGUGACUAAAGCGAUCAGGUACAGAGUGAACGCUGUCAAACGCCAACGAGAAAAGAUGCAACGAUUGGUCGACGAUGAUGCCAGCCUUCUCGAGUUUACCAAUCAGAAGCCAGAAUCUCCAUUAAGCCAAGACAUGUCUUCAGAUCCUUGGUUCCAGGCCCCGCCCACAGGAUCCACCUUGAGCCCAUUGGAUUAUGGGAUCAGUAGUCUUUCCAGCAGAGCAAAUGUGGAAGAAGAAAGAAAACCAAGCUCCAUAGCCUCCACUGCAUCUAUAGCCUCAAUUGAAAGUGCUUCAUCAGUUUCCUCUGGCGUUGCAGAAGCCCCGCCCUCUCCAGUCUCAAGCCCCGCCUCUCCACCACAAAGCCCCGCCUCUCAAAGUGUUAACCCUGUUCCUCCUGCCUUAAACGCCGCCCCUCCUCCAGCUGUAAACCAAUCCCCUCCUUCCAGACAUACCACGUCUUUAUCAUACAAUCCCGGCAAUCAAGAAAGUAGUCCCGCCCCUCCCAUUUCAAAUCCUUCAACCAGAACCUCAGUUCAAUCUUAUGGCCCCGCCCCUCCUGCCUAUGACCCUGCCUCCUUAGUCUUAAACCCAGCCCCUCCUUCCCGAAACACCACCUCUUUGAGCUAUAAUCCCGCCAAUCAAAUUACAAACCCCGCCCCUCUGCAAAUCAACACUCCUCCUCCCAUUAGAAGCUCCACCACUUUGGUUUAUAAACCCGCCAAUCAAAUUACAAACCCCGCUCCUCCUUUAUAUAACCCUGCCAAUCAAGUCACAAAUCCCGCCCUUCCUUUAUAUAACCCUGGCAAUCAAGUCACAAACCCCGUCCCUCCUUUAUAUAACCCGGCCAAUCAAAUCACAAACCAUACCCUUCCUUUAUAUAACCCCGCCAAUCAAAUUACGAACCCCGCCCCUCCUUUAUAUAACCCCACCAAUCAACUGACAAACUCCGCCCCUCUUCCAUAUAACACUGUCAAUCAAGUCACAAACCCCACCCCUCCUUUAUAUAACCCCACCAAUCAACUGACAAACUCCGCCCCUCUUCCAUAUAACCCUGUCAAUCAAAUGACAAACCCCGUUCCCCCGACAUUUAACCCCGCCAAUCAAAUUACAAAUCCUGCUCUUCCUCAAAUCAACUCUCCUCCUCCCAUCAGAAGCUCCACCUCUUUGAUUUAUAACCCUGCCAAUCAAAUGACAAACCAAGCCCCUCCUCCAAUGAACUCUCCUCCUCCCAUCAGAAGCUCUGCUUCUUUGUCUUAUAACCCUGCCAAUCAAAUGCCAAACAACAUCCCUCCUCAAAUGAACUCUCCUCCUUCUGUCAGAAGCCCCGCCUCUUUGUCUUAUAACCCUGCCAAUCAAAUGCCAAAUACUGCCCCUCCGUCGGCGUUGGUGAGUCCAGUGCCACAAGUAAACCCCGCCCCUCAGGUUGCAAACUCUGUCCCUCCCAUCACAAAUCCUGCCUCCGUAUACUCUCCGUUUCUUAGCCUCUUUCCUCCUAUCAAACGCACCUCCAAACCUCCUCCUCUUCCUGUGCUUCGUUAUCCAAAGAGCAUCGCCGUUUCCCAGAAUCCCGAGCGAGUGCCAAGCUCUACGAGUGGGUUUUCCUCACCUGUGGACAGCUCUGCCUCCGAUGUGAUGUCUGGGAUGAGUGACAGGGACGAGAGCCAAUCAGAGCGUAGCAUCCGGUUGACCCGCCGCGCCAAGGCUAAGGCGUUCCAGAAGCGUGCACGUCUCCGGAUCACCUCCCUGUUGGACCGGGUGGUGGAGUGUCAGCUGUUCACUCACGAUAACAAAGUGGUCACCUACAAAUUUGACCUGGAUGCAGACAACCCCGAGGACAUCGCUUCAGUCAUGAUCCACAGGGACUUUAUUCUGAAACCUGAACGAGACGCUUUUAUCGACCGCAUGUAUGACAUCAUCAAGAGGGCGGAGUCUAUGAAUCAGCCCAGUCCACUACAGGAAGCACAGCCAACUCUACCUCUACCUCUACCUCUGCCUCUACCGGUGCAAACUUUGUCAAGGUCCCACUCGUCCUCCUCUUUGCCGGAAAUGGCUGACACUGCUCCAGCCACGGUGGGUGUAGACUUCUAUGUGGACAGAGAGGCCACGCCCCCUGUGAGGUCACUUAGAUCUCAGUCUUUUCACAACACCUCAGCCUCUUCUCCUCAGCCUCAGCCUCAGCCUCAGCCUCAGACUCCGCCUCCUUCUCCGUAUCCUUAUCAGUACCACCCCCAAACACAAGCACCGCCGAUGCCCCAAACUGCAGCCUCCCACUGGCCGCAUCCAGACCAGCCCAUCUUCUCCCUGUCCAAUGUUCUGUCUCUGGCGAUGAGUGUGGCACAGAACUGGAUGCCCCCUCCUCCUCCUCAUCCCCCUCCAGCUCCUCCAGCUCCUCCAGCUCCUCCAGCUCCUCCUACAUAUGGCUCUCCCCCCACUCCCCCCAUGUCUCCCCCUAGGCCCCUGCAGCAACAUCCGUCAUACAGUCAGCUACCGCCGGGGGCUCCUGUGCUCCCACCUACAGCUUCAGGCCACAUCCCAUCCCCACCUGCACAGCCUGCCAGCCCUGUGCUCCAGUCUAAUUCUACCUCCACUCCAGCCUCCUCAGGCUCAAACUCUGGAAGUGACGCCUCAUUUACAAACAAACCUCUCGUUUCUCCUCCUCCGUCUCCUUCACAAAGACUGUCACCUCAAUUAUCUCCUAUGAACAAAUCUCUCAUGUCUCCUCCUCCAUCCCCUUCGCAAAGACUGUCGCCCAGAUUAGCUCCUAUUCAAGAAGUAAAAAAGCAGGGGUUUAAAGUGGGGCGUUUCCAAGUCUCCGCCUCUAAAGACAAUCGAUCUUUGACCCAAGCCACUCCCACACGGCACUCCCCGCCCCCUCAGCGUCCCAGCCAAUCAGAGAGCAGCUCCGAGACCAGCAGCAGCAGCAGCAGUGGCCACUCACAGGUCGGCGUCUCUGCACGAACCAAUCAGGACAGAGACAAGGAAUCGGAGGAGCGGCAUUCUGGAAAUAGCCUAUCACAUUACGGCAGACACCAGACGGACAUGAGCUCUGACGAAUCAGAGAGCGAGAACGAGGAUGAUGUCAUGUGGGCGGAGCUACGGGAGCUACAAGACAGACACCUGGCGCAGGUGCAGGAGCUCCAGGCCAACCAGAAGAGAGAGAUCGAGCAGCUGUAUGUGCGCUUAGGGAAAACGCCCCCUGCUGCCAUCAUGGCACCAGCGGCCAUUUUGCACCCGCGCCCAAGAAGGCUCUCCAAAACCGGACCCCACCAAGGCUCCACCAGACACAGCAGCCUGCACCGCCUGGAGCACAUUCUGCCUGCUGGUGAGGAGUGAUACUGCACCGUAAAGUGCCCGUACCUGCUCUUUACAUCAUGCAUCACUUGGCAUCAUGAGGAAAGGCUCUCUGGGCGGCAGCAGCAGUGGAUCUCAGGAGAGGGUCAAAGGAGUGACCUUUGCCCCAGACGCGACCACGAUGAACACUUAAAGGAGAAGACACACACUUUACCUCAGGUUCGGAGACUGGAUUCACAUUUGUUGUUGUUGUGUUUCCGCACUUUAUAAGCUUAAUAUUGAGGCUUUUUCACUUGCCACUUUAAACUAUUUCUGUGUACUGCUAUGAGGCUGUGCUGUGUUAUUUGUGAUUCUUCAGCCAACAUGGGAAUAUUAAAGGCACUGGACCUGAUUUUUAUUACAUUUUUUUCAUAUAUUUGGGCAAAACACGUCUUGCCCUAGUACACGCAUUUUGUAUAAGCAGCUCUUGAGAUUAAAAUUUGUGUAUUAUCUGCAUCUAAUUAUAAA
Molecule: RNA transcript, 5112 nt
Organism: Boleophthalmus pectinirostris (great blue-spotted mudskipper)
Lineage: Eukaryota; Metazoa; Chordata; Actinopteri; Gobiiformes; Gobiidae
Gene name: serine/threonine-protein kinase WNK4-like
Exons: 24
Source: RefSeq, a predicted model, not a curated record